This 460-nucleotide ribosomal RNA is filed under the name uncultured bacterium. RNAcentral describes it as "partial 16S ribosomal RNA". It matches the Rfam family "Bacterial small subunit ribosomal RNA", at positions 338 to 795 of the family's 1533-position model. The record is from RNAcentral.
CCUACGGGUGGCAGCAGUGAGGAAUAUUGGUCAAUGGGCGCGAGCCUGAACCAGCCAAGUCGCGUGAGGGAAGACGGCCCUACGGGUUGUAAACCUCUUUUGCCGGGGAGCAACGGGCGCCACGUGUGGCGCCACUGAGAGUACCCGGAGAAAAAGCAUCGGCUAACUCCGUGCCAGCAGCCGCGGUAAUACGGAGGAUGCGAGCGUUAUCCGGUUUUAUUGGGUUUAAGGGGUGCGUAGGCGGAGCGUAAAGUCAGUGGGAAAAUUGCGGGGCUCAACCCCUUCCCGCCAUUGAAACUGGCGAUCUUGAGUGGAAGAGAAGUAUGCGGAAUGCGUGGUGUAGCGGUGAAAUGCAUAGAUAUCACGCAGAACCCCGAUUGCGAAGGCAGCAUGCCGGCUUCCUACUGACGCUGAAGCACGAAAGCGUGGGGAGCGAACAGGAUUAGAUACCCCAGUAGUC